AUCACUAGUUUACAUCAAAAGUUUUACUAAAUUGGAAAAUGCUCUUUGUAAACCACUCUUUAAUUCUUAAUCUUUCUAAUAGAGAAUUCAGUCCGUGUAUGCAAACUGAAAACAUAGUUCUUGAUUUGUGAGUUUGGUUUAAUGUUAUCAAAUAGCUGCUAUAUAUUUUUCGAUUUCUUUCUUAUGUUCUGUUUUUUUUUUCAUUCGCAACAUGAGUUGGAUGAAGGCGUUAAGGAACUUGCUCAGAGAAUUUCUAGCAAGUCACCACUGGCAGAUGUUAGGACAAAGACUGUGUUGCUUAAAAGUAGGGACUUACCGUGAAUCAAGGGUUGGAUUUUGUAGCAACUUUAAAUUCUGCAAAAUUGUUUUCCAGUGACUUAAUUGAAGCAGUUGAGGCAGUGAAGCUGAAAAGAAGGUUAUUUCCUGCGGAUUUAUCUGCGGAUCUUCCUGCCAAAUAUAAUAUCUAUGAAGGUUUUAGUUGGGAACUAAAAUCGGCAGGAAGAACCGCAGGAAAAUUGAGCUAAAAUCCGCAGAAGAAAGCUUGGUCGGGUUGAAUUAUUCAUUAUAGAUCGAGUUGAUCUUGAGCACCGAGGCAGUUUGAUAACUCAUAAUGUGUGAGGGACGACUUUUGAUAAGUCAUGGCACACCAUAGAAGGAAUGUCACCUUAACCUUAACUGUAAGUGAAGAGUGAGAUGUAAUGGAAGUGACAAAGAAUGCACAUUCACAGAUUUAGGGCAUAUGUCUCAUCAGCCAGCAUUAUAUAGCACAUUUGAAUCAAAAAGAAAAAGGAUAAGAUCAAAGGCGAUAAAUGACAAAACUCCGCACAAUAGUACAAUUGAUUCUCCUGCUCCACUAUGCCUGCCAAACAACGCUUUGUGCCCCACAUGUUGUUUGUACCAUGCUCAAUAAUGGUACUAAAAUGAAGAAUUGGAUAAGAUCAAAGGCGAUAAAUGACAAAACUCCGUACAUUUGAAUCAACCAAUAUGUUGUGCAGAACUGCUGCGAAACACCAUUGAUUUUCCUGCUCCACUAGGCCUGCCCAACAACGCUAUGUGCCUCACAUGCUGUUUGUACUCUGCUUAACAAUGGUACUGAAAUGAAGAAUUGGAGGGAACCUAGUGAUUCUAUUGGGCCAAGCACAUUGAAUAUUCAAAGGCCAAUGAUCCAAGACUCCAUAAGAACCCUAGUUGAAGCUACUAUAAAAGAAACUCUUGGAGGAAUUGCAAAAAAGGUUCAACAAUCCAGAGAGAUAAACACUGAGUGAAAACUAGUGAAGAAAGUGAGCUAAACAAAGUGGAUAACUUCUUUUUCUCAUAAUCUCAAAUAUAUGUUGCAAGUAACUAGCGUGACAUGGGUCGUCUCUUGCUGAUUAAAGAUUGCAGAAGACAAAGAAGUUACUCUUACACUUUCCUUUCUUUUUCAUUAUGUGUUUAAGAAUGUUUAGCUUAGGAUCCAAUGUUUAUGUAUGUACUAAGCUCACCAUGAGCUAAACCCUUUUAUGUCAGAAAUGUUAAGUUAACAUAAAAUAGUUAUUUGGGUUAAA
This is a long non-coding RNA of Lathyrus oleraceus (garden pea), 1544 nucleotides long. RefSeq lists it as uncharacterized. The record is from RefSeq and is a predicted model, not a curated record. Lineage: Eukaryota; Viridiplantae; Streptophyta; Magnoliopsida; Fabales; Fabaceae. The transcript is spliced from 4 exons.